CCUUGUACACACCGCCCGUCACAUCAUGGGAGUUGGUUCUACCCGAAGGCGAUGACCUAACCGUAAGGAAGGAGUCGACUAAGGUGGGGCCGAUGACUGGGAUG
Molecule: ribosomal RNA, 104 nt
Filed under: uncultured bacterium
Lineage: Bacteria
Description: partial 16S ribosomal RNA
Rfam family: Bacterial small subunit ribosomal RNA
Source: RNAcentral